CCUCUAACUCUUGACUUGACUGCAUUGGUAUUGUGUGUUGUCAAGAUUUUAAUGGGAGGUAAACUAAACUUUGGUCUGCUAUGUCUUCGGUGCCAUAAGUAUUACUACUGUGGUUCUAUCCUCAAUCGGACCUACAAAG
Small nucleolar RNA from Styela clava, 139 nucleotides. RefSeq annotates it as small nucleolar RNA SNORA57. The record is from RefSeq and is a predicted model, not a curated record. Lineage: Eukaryota; Metazoa; Chordata; Ascidiacea; Stolidobranchia; Styelidae.